AUAAAAUAGAUAAAUUAAUAAAGAACAUUCCAAUAUAUGACUUUUAGAAGUUUCAAGGAGGGUUCAGAAAUUGUUUUGGUCCAAAACUUUGGGCUAAUUUGAAUGGCAUGUUUUGCAAGGGAACAAAACAGAGCACAUUUGUCAUUGUCUCUUUACGUGUCCUGAACAAUCUUUAAUAUCGGUCUUGCCUGCUUCGAUCUGUAAUAGUCCAUUAUAUUUAAUUGUCAUGCAGAUUCCUUUAUCCCAUAUACCCUCUUGUUUGUGUUUCUGCUUCUGCUGUCAUUGAGAGUUUUCCUGAUCUUUUCCGAGACAAAUAUAAUCCCUACUAUAAUUCUAUUAUAGUUAUGAUGGCCAAAUUUCUUAGACCUGUGGCCCUGAGCCUCAUAUUAUGUGCCUCACAUUCACGUACAUUCUCAUUGAUCAAUGGCUAUGCUGCUCCAAUGGAGGUUUACAAGAUCUUGGAGCACCAUGAUGAUGCAGGAACUGUGCUUGAAAAUUAAGUGCAAGUUGAUGUGAAUGACAAUGUCCUGGAGAUCAUAUGGGAAGAUAAUAAUUAAAACAUAAAGGUUAUAGGGAUGAUAAGGAGAAGGAAGAGUUGGACUUUAAGGGUAAAAAUGUGUCAAAUCUAGUGAGACAGGUGACCGAGAUUCCGUUUAACAAUUUUCUUUAUUGCUGGAACAAGUCUUAACCAAGAUCAAGAUCAAAGUACUUCACUAAGUUAUAUAUGCAGGCAUUGCAAUGAGAGGUGAUGAUGAUUUGGGAUUAUAUUCUCACCAGGAUGAAUUUUGUUUUAGAAAUUGUAAUACUUUGUGUGUGUCUCUGUGUGUGUGUUUUUUUAUGUAUUAAAUUACAUAUUGAAUCAAUGUUUAUGUAUUAAAUUAAA
Long non-coding RNA from Gossypium arboreum, 883 nucleotides. RefSeq lists it as uncharacterized. The record is from RefSeq and is a predicted model, not a curated record. Lineage: Eukaryota; Viridiplantae; Streptophyta; Magnoliopsida; Malvales; Malvaceae. The transcript has 4 exons.